AGGAACAAUUGGAGGGCAAGUCUGGUGCCAGCAGCCGCGGUAAUUCCAGCUCCAAUAGCGUAUAUUAAAGUUGUUGCAGUUAAAAAGCUCGUAGUUGAACUUUGGACUUAUAUUACUAGUCAGAUGGAAAUCUAGUACUAGAAAGAAUAUAAGUCUUUCCUUCUGGGUAAAUUAUUAAAAUUUUAAUAAUUGAACCAGGACGAUUACUUCGAAAAAAUUAGAGUGUUCAAAGCAGGCGGGAAGCAUGAAUAUAUUAGCAUGGAAUAAUAGAAUAGGACGUUUGGACCUAUUUUGUUGGUUUCUAGGACCAUCGUAAUGAUUAAUAGGGACGGUCGGGGGCAUCAGUAUUCAAUUGUCAGAGGUGAAAUUCUUAGAUUUAUUGAAGACUAACUACUGCGAAAGCAUUUGCCAAGGACGUUUUCAUUAAUCAAGAACGAAAGUUAGGGGAUCGAAGAUGAUCAGAUACCGUCGUAGUCUUAACCAUAAACUAUGCCAACUAGGGAUCGGGUGGAGUUUAAAUAGAGACGCACUCGGGACCUUAAGAGAAAUCAAAGUAUUUGGGUUCUGGGGGGAGUAUGGUCGCAAGGCUGAAACUUAAAGGAAUUGACGGAAGGGCACCACCAGGAGUGGAGCCUGCGGCUUAAUUUGACUCAACACGGGGAAACUCACCAGGUCCGGACACAAUAAGGAUUGACAGAUUGAGAGCUCUUUCUUGAUUUUGUGGG
RNAcentral lists this ribosomal RNA (725 nucleotides) under Macrorhabdus ornithogaster. Its description in RNAcentral is "SSU rRNA". It matches the Rfam family "Eukaryotic small subunit ribosomal RNA", at positions 540 to 1274 of the family's 1831-position model. The record is from RNAcentral. Lineage: Eukaryota; Fungi; Ascomycota; Saccharomycetes; Saccharomycetales.